RNAcentral lists this ribosomal RNA (255 nucleotides) under uncultured bacterium. Its description in RNAcentral is "partial 16S ribosomal RNA". It matches the Rfam family "Bacterial small subunit ribosomal RNA", at positions 15 to 266 of the family's 1533-position model. The record is from RNAcentral.
GAUCCUGGCUCCGGAUGAACGCUAGCUACAGGCUUAACACAUGCAAGUCGAGGGGCAUCAGGGUGUAGCAAUACACCGCUGGCGACCGGCGCACGGGUGAGUAACACGUAUCCAACCUGCCCUUUACUCGGGGAUAGCCUUUCGAAAGAAAGAUUAAUACCCGAUGGCAUAACAUGACCUCCUGGUUUUGUUAUUAAAGAAUUUCGGUAGAGGAUGGGGAUGCGUUCCAUUAGGCAGUUGGCGGGGUAACGGCCC